GAUGAACGCUGGCGGCGUGCUUAACACAUGCAAGUCGAACGAUGAAGCCCAGCUUUCUGGGUGGGUUAGUGUCGAACGGGUGAGUAACACGUGAGUAACCUGCCCUUAACUCUGGGAUAAUCCUGGGAAACUGGGUCUAAUACCGGAUAGGAGCGUGCACCGCAUGGUGGGUUUUGGAAAGAUUUAUCGGUUUUGGAUGGACUCGCGGCCUAUCAUCUUGUUGGUGAGGUAAUGGCUCACCAAGGCGACGGCGGGUAGCCGGCCUGAGAGGGUGACCGGCCACACUGGGACUGACACACGGCACAGUAUCCUACGGGAGGCAGCAGUGGGGAAUAGUGCAAAAUCGGCGCAAGCCUGAUGCAGACACGCCGCGUGAGGGAUGAAGGCAUUAGCGUUGUAAACCUCUUUCAGUAGGGAAGAAGCGAAAGUGACGGUACCUGCAGAAGAAGCACCGGCUAACUACGUG
This 466-nucleotide ribosomal RNA is filed under the name uncultured bacterium. RNAcentral's name for it is "partial 16S ribosomal RNA". It matches the Rfam family "Bacterial small subunit ribosomal RNA", at positions 28 to 507 of the family's 1533-position model. The record is from RNAcentral.